Molecule: transfer RNA, 73 nt
Filed under: Stegodyphus mimosarum
Lineage: Eukaryota; Metazoa; Arthropoda; Arachnida; Araneae; Eresidae
Rfam family: tRNA
About the family: Transfer RNA (tRNA) molecules are approximately 80 nucleotides in length. Their secondary structure includes four short double-helical elements and three loops (D, anti-codon, and T loops).
Source: Rfam by way of RNAcentral
GCCUUCGUGGUGUAAUGGUGAAGCACACUCGGCGCGUAUUCGAGAGGUCCGGGUUCGAGUCCCGGUGAGUCCC